Molecule: RNA transcript, 3689 nt
Organism: Capra hircus (goat)
Lineage: Eukaryota; Metazoa; Chordata; Mammalia; Artiodactyla; Bovidae
Gene: IFI44
Gene name: interferon induced protein 44
Exons: 10
Source: RefSeq, a predicted model, not a curated record
UACUAGAGGAAGUGAGCACAGAGCCAACUGGGCUGGACCUCACUAAGUUUCAGUUUCCUUUUCGCUGCUUCUCCAAAGCCUCAAGGUUGCUGAGAAGGUUUUUGGUCUCACUUUGUGCCUGCCUAGCUGUCAGACAAAGCAGCUACCCUCAGCUUCAGCCCUUGAAGAGAUCCUCCAAACAGAUUGAGAAGCAUGGCAGUGGCAACUCAUUUGACAUGGAUGCAAGAAAAAAAGCUGCAAAAUUACUUUGGAGAAAAGCAGUUUAGCCUUCUCUAUAAGGCCAGUGUCCAUGGAUUCUCUACUAAUAGUUUGCUUCAGAUAUGCUCUAGACAAGGACCUACUCUAACAGUGAUUUACAGUAAAGAUCGGAUUGUUGCGGCAUAUAUGCACAAGAACUAUGGGGAAGGAAACUAUUUAAUCACUGUUUUUGUCUUUCAAGAGACUACAACUACAGAAUGCAAAGUAGGACCAUUUAAACUACUUAUGUCAUUUGAUAAAGAUCCUGGUGGAAAUCUUGAAGUCAGUAUGCAUCUAAAGGAAAAAACCAUGUAUUUUAGUGUAAAGGCAAAGAAAACACUUGGACUACUUCAAAAUUAUAUUUCCUUCCAGGACUGUGAAGUUUUUCGAUGUGAAGAUUUAUUGGACGAAAGGAGGAUGAAUGGAAUUACUGUGCUCAAGGAGAGCUUAUUGUGUGCUAUCAGAAGUUAUAUACCAUAUGGAGGCCUGGUUCACAAAAUUCGCAUUCUGCUUCUGGGUCCAGUUGGAGCUGGGAAGUCUAGCUUUUUCAACUCAGUGAGGUCUAUUUUCCGAGGCCAUGUAACGAACCAGGCUUUGGUGGGUUCUAAUCCAACUGGGACAUCUGAAAAGUACAGAGCAUAUUUCAUUAAGGAUGGGAAGGAUAACAACACUCUGCCAUUUAUUCUGUGUGACUCAAUGGGGCUGAGUGAGAAAGAAGGCCUGGACAUGGAUGACAUACCCUAUAUCUUAGAAGGCCAUUUUCCUGACAGAUACCAGUUUAAUUCCUUGAAACUAAGGCCAAAAGGCAUUGGUAACCAUACAGGCUGCCCAUUGCUGAAGGACAGAAUCCAUUGUGUGGCAUUUGUGUUCAAUGCCAACUCUGUUGGAGAGCUCUCCCAUGAGAUGGUGGAAAAGAUCAAAAAAAUUCAAAGGGAGUUGAUUAAGUCUGAUGUGGUCCAUGUGGUGUUGCUCACUCAUGUGGAUACCUUGGAUCUGAUUACAAAAGGUGACCUCAUAGACAUAUACAAAUGUGUGCCUGUGAAACUUAAGCUAGAGGCAGUUCACAGAAAACUUGGAUUCGCUCUUUCUGACAUCUUUGUGGUUAGUAAUUAUACCUCAGAGUGGGAACUGGAGCCUGUCAUAGAUGUCCUGAUCCUCUCUGCACUGAAAGAGAUGCUGUGGGCUGCAGAUGACUUCUUAGAGAAUUUGCCUCUUGAGAAAACAGAGAUCAGAAGAAAGAAAUGAUCAAAUGUGAAUAAAGAAAAUAAGUGAGCACGUUGCAUAUUAAAGCUUUUAAUUUCAUCAUAGAAAAGUGAAAAGUGUGAAAUGAGAAAACACGGGAAAAAAGGAAGCAGUUGAACCUGAGGGGGAUAUUUUAUCUAAAUCUAGAAUGAAAUUACAUACAAAAUCAUAAUACCUAUAAAGAAGAACAGCACAAUUUAAGUCAUUAAUUAUAUAAAAGACUAACAAUUUCUUUAAAAAUUAUGUACUGUAUCUGUGAAAAAUUAAAGUUUCUUCUUGUAAAACUGAAGUCUAACUUGAGUGUGUGCAUACGUGUGUGUGUGGUAUGUGUGUGUGAUUUUGGAAAAGAUUAUUCUAAUACAACUUGUCAACAUCUUCUGAACUUCACCUAUAUUGUCUUAAUUUUUGCCUUCUUAUGUUAUUUCUAAAGUGCUUGAUUCUCUUUGGGUCCCUAUUAAUGUUGUAUUCUUUAACCUAAAGCCAUUUUUGUUUGAAUAUCUGAACACUUCUUCAAGGAUGUAGCAAAUUAAUAUUACAUAGAGAUUUCAUUUCAUGUAGCAAUGAAAAUUAAAGAGCUAUAACUAUAUACAAUAGUAUCAAUAAAUAUUAAAAAUAUACUAUUGACCAAAAGGAGAAAGAUAUGAAUGAAUCUAUACAUGAUGAAUAGAUUUAUAUAAAUCUCAUAGAAGUUCUAAGUAAAACAAAAGGAAUGAUAAUCUUAAAAAUGAUGAUGGUCAUAAAAAUGAAGAUGGUGAUGAUAUUUUAAGGUGGAGAGGGGCUCUAUGUAAUGUACUGCAAUUUAUUGUCUGUUCUAUUAAUACUAUUCAUAGGCCUGGGGAUUAUCUCCAAUUUGGGACUGUUAUGAAUAAUGCUACUACAAAGAUUCUUACACACAUCUUUUGAGGCACAUAUAAAAAUCGUCCCUAAGAUGUAUAACUGAGAAAUUGCUAGCUCACUGUGUCUGUCUACAUAUCCUCAACCUUAUUGGAAACAAUCCAUAGCCUCUUGACAGGUGAAUAAGUAAAAAGAUGUGGUAUAUCCACACAAUGGAAUACUACUCAGCAAUAAAAAGAAGGAAAUAUUUUUACAGGCAAGUGUAGGAGACAGGAAGAAUAAAAGAAAAGCAGGCCCUGGCAAGGGCCACAAAAUAAAUUUGUAAUUAUUGAUAAACUGGAUGCUAUAAGGCAUGAGACUCUUGGAACAAGUCCAGAGGGAACAGUUCAUAAUCUUGAAAACAAGAUAUGAUCCUGCAACCCCAGACUGUUUCUCAACUGGCUUCUCAGAAUCACAUGUUCUACAUAUCUGGUGAAAAAUCUAUAGAUAAGAAAAUCAGUCUUAGUUACUGAUUUGUUAUUGGUUACUGUUUCUUAAUUACUCAAUGGUUAAUGAUCAUUUUCUUCUUUGUCCCUGAAGGCCACAUGAGUUAUAGUUUAACUCCCCGCAUAUUCUUUCAUUCACGGCUGAAGGCAUAAUAAAGCUGGCUUGGAUUCGGUUUCGGCACCACCUUGGAGCGGUGUUGGUCCCCUGAUCCUCGCUUUUCUCUGAAUUUUUGUGUCUUGUUUCUCAUUCUCUCGCGCUUUUGGAAACCCUGCUUGUUGAACUGGUCUGGACAGGCAAAAACAUACACAAACAGGUAGACUAUUUUAUUUCUUUACCUCCCAAGGUGAAGGGGGUUUGUGAAGAGUGAGUAGCCACCUGGUGCUUCUGCAGGAGCUUUUAAAGAAGAUACACCUUUAGCUUUAGAAGCAUACUGCUUUAGGAGCAUACGUCUCGGAUUCAAAAUCUGAAACAGUCAACAGAAACAAACUAAAUGAUUGGGUCAUUUCUGCCCCCUAGUGGUCAAUGCUCUAAAUGGAGAAGACGGUGAAGGUUGAAUUUGGAAGCUCAAAUAAAAACUAAGGCAUCUAAUUUUGUUUUUUUUAAAGGAAAACCAUCAGAGCAGAAAAAAAAUUUAACAUAUAAUUUUGUUAAAGGUGUUCAUUAUUGAAUGGAAGAUGAUUUUCUCCUGGUGUUGAAUAUAUGACAGCUUUUGGAAAUGCUGUGUUCUGUGCUAGAAUUUUUUUAUUCCUGGCAUUAUAUCAGACAUUGUUUAUGCAUAUUUGCAAACUAAGGUAUUAUUAACAUAUCCUAUUUUAGCAUAUUUAAAUAGAAAUUUGAAUGUAUAAUGCUCAAGGCCUAUGGUGAUCAAUAAACACAUACAAUGGGAACUU